UCUUUUUUACGAUUAUCAUUUUCUUUCUUUCAGAUUUCUUAUUUUUGUUUUUCUUUUUUACGAUUGAGAACAUUUCUCAGCUCUCAGCUCAAUCGCCUCAAGAAAUCAGGUCUGGCCAUAAAUUAGAUCGCGCUGGUUUGAGCUCUUAGGUGGCCGGCCUACUGAAUCACGCACAUUUGCUGGAAAUUUGAAAGAAGAAAUUUGAAUUGGCUAAGAAGUUCAAGAACACAAUAAUCGUUAAUCAUCGGUGGAUAGAAGAUUGUGUAAAGCGACGGAAGCGUGUUCCAAAGCAUCCUUCUGCAAUUUUAGCUCAUAAAUUUUCAAGUUUGAUUAUAUAGUUUUUCUGGUAUUGAAUGUGCGGUCAAUUUUGAUUUGCUUAGUGUAGGUGAUUGUAGCAAUUUUAUUCACGUCCUAUCAUUCCAGGGGAGAAAAUUUAGUGGAAGUUCUUGGCUCUGUGAUGUGGUAAAAAUUAUAUGAGCUAUUUCUAUUUGAUUUUCUAGAGAGAAAUAGAAUAGUGUUAGAUCAUGAAGAAUUAUGAAGUUAAAUGGCACUGAUUUUGAAGACAGUGGUUGUGAUUUUAUCUUAUUAGGCUGAUAAGAAUUUUCUGA
This is a long non-coding RNA of Mercurialis annua (annual mercury), 608 nucleotides long. RefSeq lists it as uncharacterized. NCBI's taxonomy places the organism in Eukaryota, Viridiplantae, Streptophyta, Magnoliopsida, Malpighiales, Euphorbiaceae. The transcript is spliced from 2 exons. The record is from RefSeq and is a predicted model, not a curated record.